UGUAGCUCAAAUGGUAGAGCGCUCGCUUAGCAUGCGAGAGGUACAGGAUUGAUCAUGUUACUGUGAUAAAAU
Molecule: transfer RNA, 72 nt
Filed under: Phytophthora infestans (potato late blight agent)
Lineage: Eukaryota; Oomycota; Peronosporomycetes; Peronosporales; Peronosporaceae
Description: tRNA-Ala
Rfam family: tRNA
About the family: Transfer RNA (tRNA) molecules are approximately 80 nucleotides in length. Their secondary structure includes four short double-helical elements and three loops (D, anti-codon, and T loops).
Source: RNAcentral